Molecule: small RNA, 112 nt
Filed under: Xenorhabdus eapokensis
Lineage: Bacteria; Pseudomonadati; Pseudomonadota; Gammaproteobacteria; Enterobacterales; Morganellaceae
Description: frnS
Rfam family: Fumarate/nitrate reductase regulator sRNA
Source: RNAcentral
GCAGGUGAAUACAACGUUGAACGUUGUGCUCCAUAAUUGUAGCUUUUCUCAUAUUGAGUUUUACACAGAAUAAUUGCUCAUUAUGCCGAUACUUGUUUUAGUAUCGGCUAUU